Molecule: ribosomal RNA, 522 nt
Filed under: Glaciecola petra
Lineage: Bacteria; Pseudomonadati; Pseudomonadota; Gammaproteobacteria; Alteromonadales; Alteromonadaceae
Description: partial 23S ribosomal RNA
Rfam family: Bacterial large subunit ribosomal RNA
Source: RNAcentral
GGUUAAGUGAAUAAGCGUAUACGGUGGAUGCCUAGGCAGUUAGAGGCGAUGAAGGACGUGUAAGUCUGCGAUAAGCGUUGGGAAGCUGACAAAACGCGUUAUACCCAACGAUUUCCGAAUGGGGCAACCCAGGUCUUCGGACCUAUCUGCAUCUGAAUACAUAGGGUGUAGAAGCAAACGCAGGGAACUGAAACAUCUAAGUACCUGUAGGAAGAGAAAUCAAUUGAGAUUCCCCUAGUAGCGGCGAGCGAACGGGGAACAGCCGAAUCAGCAUGAUGUAGUGGAACAAGUUGGGAAGCUUGGCGAUACAGGGUGAUAGCCCCGUACACGACGUAUCAUGUUGGUCAUAUUAAGUAGGUCGGGACACGUGUUAUCUUGACUGAAGAUGGGGGGACCAUCCUCCAAGGCUAAAUACUCCUAACUGACCGAUAGUGAACCAGUACCGUGAGGGAAAGGCGAAAAGAACCCCUGUGAGGGGAGUGAAAUAGAACCUGAAACCGUAUACGUACAAGCAGUGGGAGC